CCUACGGGCGGCAGCAGUGAGGAAUAUUGGUCAAUGGGCGCGAGCCUGAACCAGCCAAGUCGCGUGAAGGAUGAAUGCCCUACGGGUCGUAAACUUCUUUUGUAGAGGAAUAGGGUGCGGCGCGUGUGCCUUUUUGUAUGGACUUUAUGAAUAAGGAUUGGCCAACUCCGUGCCAGCCGCCGCGGUAAUACGGAGGAGUCGAACGUUGUCCGGAUUUAUUGGGUUUAAAGGGAGCGUAAAUGGGUUGUUAAGUCAGGUGUGAAAGUUUGGGGCUCAACCCUAAAAGUGCAAUUGAUACUGGCAGUCUUGAGUACAGUUGAGGUAGGCGGAAUGCGUGGUGUAGCGGUGAAAUGCUUAGAUAUCACGAAGAACUCCGAUUGCGAAGGCAGCUUACUAGACGGCCACUGACAUUGAGGCUCGAAAGUGUGGGUAUCAAACAGGAUUAGAUACCCCAGUAGUC
RNAcentral lists this ribosomal RNA (460 nucleotides) under uncultured bacterium. Its description in RNAcentral is "partial 16S ribosomal RNA". It matches the Rfam family "Bacterial small subunit ribosomal RNA", at positions 338 to 795 of the family's 1533-position model. The record is from RNAcentral.